This 274-nucleotide ribosomal RNA is filed under the name uncultured bacterium. Its description in RNAcentral is "partial 16S ribosomal RNA". It matches the Rfam family "Bacterial small subunit ribosomal RNA", at positions 523 to 796 of the family's 1533-position model. The record is from RNAcentral.
AUACGGAGGGUGCAAGCGUUACUCGGAAUCACUGGGCGUAAAGCGCGCGCAGGCGGUCUUUUAAGAUGGAUGUGAAAGCAUACGGCUCAACCGUAGAACUGCAUCCAAAACUAUUAGACUAGAGUGUGGGAGAGGAAGAUGGAAUUAGUUGUGUAGGGGUAAAAUCCGUAGAGAUAACUAGGAAUACCAAAAGCGAAGGCAAUCUUCUGGAACACUACUGACGCUGAGGCGCGAAAGCGUGGGGAGCAAACAGGAUUAGAAACCCUAGUAGUCC